RNAcentral lists this transfer RNA (75 nucleotides) under Actinomycetes bacterium. RNAcentral's name for it is "Actinobacteria bacterium tRNA-Met". It matches the Rfam family "tRNA". From Rfam's summary of the family: Transfer RNA (tRNA) molecules are approximately 80 nucleotides in length. Their secondary structure includes four short double-helical elements and three loops (D, anti-codon, and T loops). Lineage: Bacteria; Bacillati; Actinomycetota; Actinomycetes. The record is from RNAcentral. RNAcentral also lists the same sequence under 3 other names.
GGGCCCGUAGCUCAAUGGCGGAGCAGGGGACUCAUAAUCCCUUGGUUGCAGGUUCGAGUCCUGCCGGGCCCACCA